UUCAGACGAUGCGUCAUGCAUAUCAAUAAGCGGAGGAAAAGAAACUAACAAGGAUUCCCUUAGUAACGGCGAGUGAAGCGGGAAGAGCUCAAAUUUGAAAUCUUCAAGGUUUUACCUUGACGAAUUGUAGUUUAAAGAAGUGUUUUCUGUUGAAGUUUUGGUAAAAGUUCUUUGGAAUAGGACAUCAUAGAGGGUGAGAAUCCCGUAUUUGACCAGUUAUUUCUAGCUUUGUGAUACACUUUCAAAGAGUCGGAUUGUUUGGGAAUGCAGUCCAAAAUGGGUGGUAAAUUUCAUCUAAAGCUAAAUAUUGGCGAGAGACCGAUAGCGAACAAGUACCGUGAGGGAAAGAUGAAAAGAACUUUGAAAAGAGAGUUAAACAGUACGUGAAAUUGUCAAAAGGGAAGCGUUUGACACCAGUGUUGUUUUCUCGAAAAUCAAUUAAAAAGAGUUAGAUUUUGUUGUGUAUUGACCUUAACAGCUUGCAUUUCAAUUUUCUUGCUUUUUUUAAUGCACUUUUCGUUUAACAAGUCAACAUCAGUUUCUUUUGUUGUAAAAAGGUCAUUGGAAGGUGGCUUUCUUUUCGGAGAAAGUGUUUAUAGCCUUUGACUCCUGCAAUCGGAGAGACUGAGGUCUGCAGCGUAGAUCCUUCGGGGUUAGAUACAUUUGUGCUAAGUUAUAGCUUUUUAUAGACAACUUGUUGACUAUGAUUAGUCUUGUAGCUUACUCGCUUAUGCUAUUUUACCUACGCUUAGGAUGUUGAGUCGUAGAGCACGCAG
Molecule: ribosomal RNA, 776 nt
Filed under: uncultured Neocallimastigales
Lineage: Eukaryota; Fungi; Neocallimastigomycota; Neocallimastigomycetes; Neocallimastigales
Description: partial large subunit ribosomal RNA
Rfam family: Eukaryotic large subunit ribosomal RNA
Source: RNAcentral